This 199-nucleotide ribosomal RNA is filed under the name uncultured bacterium. Its description in RNAcentral is "partial 16S ribosomal RNA". It matches the Rfam family "Bacterial small subunit ribosomal RNA", at positions 328 to 539 of the family's 1533-position model. The record is from RNAcentral.
ACGCUCGACACCUACGGGAGGCAGCAGUCGGGAAUAUUGCGCAAUGGAGGGAACUCUGACGCAGUGACGCCGCGUAUAGGAAGAAGGUUUUCGGAUUGUAAACUAUUUUAGACAGGGAAGAAUAAAGACAGUACCUGUAGAAUAAGCUCCGGCUAACUACGUACCAGCAGUCGCGGUAAUCUGAGCGGGCUGGCAAGGC